This is a small nuclear RNA of Dermacentor silvarum, 186 nucleotides long. RefSeq annotates it as U2 spliceosomal RNA. The transcript has a single exon. NCBI's taxonomy places the organism in Eukaryota, Metazoa, Arthropoda, Arachnida, Ixodida, Ixodidae. The record is from RefSeq and is a predicted model, not a curated record.
AUGGCCGACGCGGGUUAAAGUGUAGUAUCCGUUCUUGUUAGCUUAAUAUCUGAUAUGGGUUGUAUUUGGACUCAAGAUAUAUUAAACUUAUUUUUACAAGUUGGCGGAGUACUUGAAGCCUGUUUCAUCUCCGGCCGCCGCAGGCCGGCCCGGUAUUGCACUAUCUUCGGAAUCGGCCCACGUCUU